AGAUCAAGAUUGACGAGACAGAGAUUCAGGCAGCAAAGGUGCGUCGCCAUCUUUCUUCAAAGGGGGUUUCAUGAUUUUCCUGAAACGAGCCUGCAGACUAAAAAAAGAAAAAGAAAACAUUUCAGCCUCCAUUUCACGAUAUUCAGAGCAUGAAGUUCUAGACAGUGAUCAAUCAAGCUUAAUAACUAACCCACCGAGGCGUUUUGUUUCAGUGGAUGGCGCUGGAGGAGUUCGUGAAGCAGCCCUUCAUCCAGGAAGACCACAUGUUCCAGAAGAUCAUGGACAUCUGCAUCCAGCGCCUCCGCAAGUGCUACUGUGGCCUGACGCCGCACCACGUCGUCUCCAAGUUCGACGACAGAACGUCCACGCUCUACUACAAUGUCGCCGAGCCUGAGGACGUCAACUGCAGCGCCACCUGAUAUAUGAUGGGAGAUUGGGAGGGAUAGUCUAGCUUUUGCUGCGCAAAGUUUCAUGAUGCAGCAAUGGCGAUUGCUGAGAGUGAAAUGCUAGCUAGUACGUAGCAGAUUGCGCAAGGCAAUAACAGUGUUGCCAAGCCUGUACAUAUACGUGUAGGGCAUAACAAGCGAGAGCUGUAUAUCGGUAGCUCUGCUCUGUCGUGUGUUCUGAUAAACGAUGGAGCCGUGUUUGAUCGUUUGCGACUUGCGAAACGAAUUCUGCAUCGAAUCAAACGCGGUACUCGAUCGCCCUCACCAUCUGUCCUCUUGGCCAUCCUCGCCGCUAUGCACUAGAGCCGAACCUCACCAUGCUAACCAUUUUUUGUUUGUUUUGGUAAAACCGAUUAUGUGGCAUCACGAUUCACGACUACCUAUAAUACAACAAAAGAACACUCACAAGAGACUCCCAUCGUGCCAGCGUUAGACAAAACAGAAAGCCUAACAAAUACUACCUUGUCUCUCAGUAAUUAGGAUCAUAGGAUGGACUGAUAUGAUGGAGUAGUUUACUUAUUAUUAUUUUUAGUUAGUGACUGGCUGUCUCUUUUGGAUGACGCCAAGUCUAAAAGCAAUCUCGCUAUUUCCUGAAGAAAAGGCUGAGGAGAGAUAGAGGGGUUAAGAACCUACAACUACAAUACUAAGUACUUCAUCUAUUCCAAAUUAUAAGUUAUUCCAAAAUUCUUGAAGAGUCAAAGCAUCUCAAGUUUGACCAAAUUUAUAUGAGAGGAUUAUAACAUUUAUGAUAUCAACUAAGUAUCAUUAUGUUCGUAAUUACUUAUAUUUUCAGAAUAUAUCUAUUUGAUGCCACAAAACGUUAUAAUUUUUUUAUAAUUUUGGUCAAACUUAAGAUGCUUUGACUCUCUAAGAUUUUUGGAAUGAUUGGUAAUUUGGGAUGGAGUAUUUUGGUAUAAAUUUGAAAAAAAAAAUUUACGAUGGUUGGAAAAAAUAUAAACCAUCCAUUGAGAGAUCUAACGGUGUAAAAAUAGAAGGUACUCAUAUGAAAGUACUCAGAAGUACCAAAUUGGUGGGGACAGUACUAAAAUAUGUGAGCCUAUACUAGGUGGACCAUUCCUUGAUCUUUUCAAUAUUUAUUUUUUUGUUUGAGGUUAAAUCGAUAAUUUUAGUUUCUUGAUUGAAAGGCAAAACUAAGAUUUUUCAUUCCACUCGGUCUCAAUCUCUGAACCCAUACGGAUUCUCCUUUCUUCUUCCCAUGGCUAAGAGGCUGGAGCACCUGGACCAGCGCCGUCAUCGCUGCCGCCGGUUGCGCUGCCAACACUAGGGGAUUGAACCUAGGUGCUUGAGCUAAGAAGUUAGCUUCCUAACCAGUUGGACUACAAUGAAGUUGUGUCAACUAUUCUAGAACAAUAAUACUUGUUCUAACAGCUUGGCGCCAAUGACAACAGCAUCAAGCUUAGCGCCAAUAAUAGUGGUGCUAGUAACCUUAGCGCCAAUGGUGAUGGCGCCAAGCUGAGGAUCUAUUUUAUAAAAAUAUUUUGUGAAGGAUAUAUUUGAAAAAUCUUUUUUAAAAAGGACUAAGAAAUAAAAAAGACGAAUGAGCAUCAUCGACACCUCACAAAAUAUCGUGGCGGAUCCAAAAUUUGAUUUUUUUAGAAGUGGUUUAUUAGAAAUUAUUGGAGAUAAUCUUUUUAUCUCUCAAUAUUAUUUUAAUAAGAGAUAAAAAUAUCAUAUUUUUAGAAAACAAAAUAGGAUACUCUUAGAAAUCCUCACUCCCAUUUGCCCUAAUUCCGAUAUGGCUAGGGGUGCAAAGGGGUAACCUUUAGGUGCACCUCCAAACCUCUUUAGUUCAAAUAUUUGUACUAUUUUUUAAUUUUUUUGGAGAAGUAGUAUAAAUAUUUGAACUAAAGAGGUUUAGAGGUGCACCUAAUCAUCACUCAUUUGCACCCUUAGAUACGACAGCCUAUAUUAGGGGGGCGUUUAGUUCCAUUUUCAUUCCAAAAAAUUCUGAGUUUUGGUCUAUUAUUUUGUAUAAUAAAAUUAAACAUCAUGCAAAAAAUUUGACAAAAUAAUUGUCAUUCUUCAUUUUAGAUUUUGGCUUCAAGAGCUAAAAAAACUCAAAAGAGUCUCAAAAGACCGUAAUGAGAGCAAUAAAUUCUGUAUUUUGAAUAGAACUAAACAUAAUCCUGAAAAUUUUAACAUUUUAUAUUUCAUCAUUCUAAAUUAAUUAGCAUUUUGUAUUUUGUAUUUCAUCAUUCUACUAGCAUAUGCCCGUGCGUUGCUACGAGAGUAAAAUUUUAAUGCAACAAUGAUAUAAAAAAAACUAUGUUGAGUCAAAAUAUAUAGACAAACAUACUAUUAUGAUCCACUUGCAAAUAAAAAAGCUCAAUUUUUAAGAAAAAUCAUAAAUUCGUCAUAUGUAUUCAUCAAUAUAUACUAUUUUUUAAAAAAAAUUCUUGACACGCAAUUUAACAUCAAUUCAUCGAAUAGGAAACUAUUUUCUUUUAAAUUGGAAAGAGAACAUCCAAUCGUUUGACGGGUAUAAGGUUAUAGGAGUUAAAAAAUCCUCUUUCCAGCAUAUUGCUCCAACACAAUUUCUGCAUCUAUGGUAUACUUUUGGAACCCCGUAUAAUAAGUCUGGUACCAUUACAAAGUCUAUUUGUAAGAUCAAUGUUCCUAAGCAAUAUGACCAACAACUAAUCUUUAUAUAUUAAUCAUAUCAACCCAUUCGUAAUAUAGCUUGAGAUAGAAAAAUACCCCUCUUAUUUUCAUUUUUUUCUUUUCUAAUUUAUUCUCUUCCCUCUCCAUUUUUUCAUUCUCUCCCCGCCGUAUCCUCUCAACACAACCACGCCGUGCCGCACGACACGAAGCCGCUACCGCCGCCGCCCUCCAGGACCCGCUUUCGGCCGUCGGCGUCCACCACAUUGCGACCCAACCCUCUGCAACCCUCUGCCACGGCUACGGUGCACUCCACACCAACCUGGUCGUCCCUUCUCAGGGGAUCUAGGGCCGGUGAAGCCCACGACCACCAGCUCCCCUCCCAUAGUCGUCGUCUGCCCUGGCCCACCCUGGUGACUCACCGUGUUGCACCAGCCAUGCCCGCCGCACUGGGGAUGUCGUGCUCGAGUUACCAUCUCCAUCGUCGAGAAGGUUCGUUACAUUUGCUUUGUGUGUUGUUCCGUAGCUAGGUUGUGUGUUGUGUUUGGGUGAAGGAAGUGGGUGAUGCGAUACUAUCACUGAUGUGUCAAUAGCUGCGAGUUCCCCAUUGCCAUCUACGGCUGUACGAACUUGCUAAACCUCUUUUUUUUCUUUUAUUAUGCGGCUAUCAAACCACGGAAUUUCAGCUUGUGUUGCUGCUAAGAAAAUUAGAGGUUUAGUCAACUGCGUGUGUUGCUUAGCGAUUUACCGCCACUAACUCUAUUCCUCUUGAUAUCAUAAGUGAAAAUGGAGUAGUGGAUGUGCAUCGUCUUUGUUUUAUGCUCCCAGUUUAGAGUCUUGGAUUUCUGAGAGUUGGACAAAGAUGCCAAGUACAUAUAAUUCGUAGUAGCUCCGUGGGAAUGGCUAUUGCCUCAGUAUUCUAGUGAUUCCAUUGUUCAUGGCAAGUAGUUUUUCAUUCUAUUAAUUGUCAUUCGGGACCUUGAGAUUAUGCAAGUCCUCGAGACUUUUAUAUAGACUGACCUGAGAUUGAGUUGUGAAUGAUCUGUUGAUAUUGAUUCAGUUACUUGCACGAGAUAUGAAGAAAGUUGUCUUACUAAUAUUAGUUUUCUGGUUUCUGUAAACACUCAUUAUAGAUUCAAACAUGAGCAUAAGUCGAAGGUGAACUUGAGGUGUAUUUGUGGCUCCACUGAUAUUCCACAUGUGAUGUCUUUUUGGACUGGAGAAAGUAGUUGUUAUUUUCUUCUUAUUUUGGGACCUUUAGCAGUUGAAGUCUAGAAACUAUUUCUAUUAAGAAUCCAUAAUCUGCAUCAUCAUGUUCCAUUCUUUUUUGUUAACAGGACAAGCAUAUGGCUACCCUCGUUAAAGAUAGGUUUGGAUUUACAGAGCAGUUGAAGGUAGCUGUUAUGUCCAUCAACACAGUCAAAGUAAAAUUUGCCGCCUUGUUUAGUUCUCAAAAAAUUUCAAGAUUCCUCGUCACAUCGAAUCUUGCGGCACAUGCAUGGAGUAUUAAAUUUAGACGAAAGUAAAAACUAAUUACCUGUAAAUCGUGAGAUGAACCUUUUGACCCUAAUUAGUCUAUGAUUGUAUAAUAUUUGUCACAAACAAACGAAAGUGCUACAGUACCCAAAAUCCAAAAUUUUUGCCAACUAAACAAGGCAUUCACAGCAGAAGCAACCUAGGUCCUCUCCCGACGUGGGUGGCUGGGGCCUGCUCCCAUCCGGCCAAGCAGCUGCGUAUGCAGGUAAGCACUUGAGUGAUUGGAUCUGCUCUCUCUUGCUCAGCUGCUGUAUUAGCUUGCAUCCUCUAUACCGCUAGUCUACAAAUAUUUCUUCUUGCCUGAAUGCCUUCUAUAUUGGUACGUACUACUAAAUGCUAUGCUAAUAUUGUUUGAUUGUCUGAAUCCCUGAAUUAAAUAGUGUCUGUUAUUUGGUCACUUGCAUGCCCUUGAGUGGACAGCUCAGACAGAUCAUGUGGUGAUAUAGAACAGAGGCAUUUGAGCUCAGCGCAUAUGUACUCCUGCAAUUUGCUACAGCUUUCUUGCCUGCAAGGCCAGGUAGGAGAAAGCAGGAGACCUUCAGAUGCUAGCUUGCGGCUGAUGUGUAUCCAUCCAUUCAAAUCAAGCAUCAUUUGCUAUAUCGAGCCUAUUAGGAGCUCUCCUGAAUAUAGGAUCUGAGCCAGCGACAGCAGAGGCGGUCCGUUGUUGCACCGCACAUGAGGCCAGUCGCCGGCGGAUCCUGAGUCUGGACCGAUCGAUCAUGUGUGUUGGCCUGUUGGGGGAUCAGUGUGCCGAGUCGCGCCGUCCCCCAUGCCUCUAGCUUCCUCUACUGCUAGACCUAGACGCUGAGGAAGCGAACGCAUGCCUUGCCCUGCUUUUGCCUCUGCCCAGAUUGAUCGGCCUAGACGCUGGUGUAUACUAUACAGUGGUACGCGGGACACGUCUUUUCCGGCCGGCCGGUAUGCACGCGCUCCAUCAUCGAUCUCGUGCAUCCAUUACAGGCGGCACAACGCGACGUUGGGCUAGGCCUUGUUUACUUGCAUCUCAAAAUCCAAAAAUUUUUAAGAUUCUCCAUCACAUCAAAUCUUUAGACGUAUGCAUAGAGUAUUAAAUAUAGAUGAAAAUAAAAACUAAUUCCACAGUUGGUCAGAAUUUACGAGACGAAUCUUUUGAGUCUAAUUAGUCCAUAGUUGGAUAAUAAUUAUCACAAACAAACGAAAGUGCUACAGUGUCGCAGAAUAUUUUCCUUGCGGAACUAAACACGGCCUUACCUUUGCUAUUGCUUGCAGCACCAAUCCCUGGCCCGCUGGCCCUGAUCUCUCCUCUCGCACGAGCUAGCUUGUGCCGAGUACCGACGUGACACUACGGCGGCGAGCUUGCAUCUGCAUGUGACCUUGCCAUGCCUCUCUGCCUACCUAGACAUAUUAUACGCCAGGCAGUAUGUACACGUCAACGGAUAGUCUUGUGGUCUUGAUUCGAC
Molecule: long non-coding RNA, 6040 nt
Filed under: Sorghum bicolor (sorghum)
Lineage: Eukaryota; Viridiplantae; Streptophyta; Magnoliopsida; Poales; Poaceae
Description: long non-coding RNA (SBIC_LNC011352)
Source: RNAcentral